GGAGGAGAGCGUGGCGAUUUGAUACCGGAUUGCGGGCCACAUUAAACACUCCGCUAAAAGGUCACUCGAUGAGGAAA
Molecule: non-coding RNA, 77 nt
Filed under: Roseobacter denitrificans
Lineage: Bacteria; Pseudomonadati; Pseudomonadota; Alphaproteobacteria; Rhodobacterales; Roseobacteraceae
Also listed under: 1 other name
Source: RNAcentral